This is a long non-coding RNA of Balaenoptera acutorostrata (minke whale), 1077 nucleotides long. RefSeq lists it as uncharacterized. The record is from RefSeq and is a predicted model, not a curated record. The transcript has 3 exons. NCBI's taxonomy places the organism in Eukaryota, Metazoa, Chordata, Mammalia, Artiodactyla, Balaenopteridae.
UUACAGAUGUGGAAACGGAGCUGAAAUUUCCAAGGGUCCCAGUCCCAUCAGAGCAGGCUUACAGCCAUCUAACUUCCAAGAUGCCAAGAUGCUGAUUCUCCUGAAAUAAGUCCUAGGGCAGGAAGAGCUGGAGCUGGGCAGAGACUGCUUCAUGGCAGCUUUCCAGGGAGACGGCCAGCACAGUGAUAAUGGAUUGUAAGGCCUACUUGAGUCCAGGGAAUAUUGACCAAAAGCAUUCAACGACAAAUAUAUUCACUAAAAGCAGAGGAGUGUACUGAGGGUAAUUAUCAAGCCUUGUGUUGCAAUGGUAGCAUCACAAAGAAACCUGAGUCCUCAAGCUCAUUUCUGGAGAAACCUCCACCAACCAGCACUGAACACUGAUGGAGCGAGAGAUCUACCGUUGCUGUGCUAAGCCAUGAGAUUGGGGGAUUUGUCUGUUGAGGCAACUGACAUUAAUGACUGUGACUAAUACAGUGACAGAAAGAAUGAACUUGUUUUGGUUUUGCCCAAAGAGGCACAUCUCCUACAUAGGAGACAAGGAGUGAUGUUAAAGAUGCACCAGGCUGCUACCUACCACCUCUGCAGUGGCUGGAGCAGGGCUGGGGAUGGGCACUCCUUGCCCCAGUUCGGCUGCCUCUUUCCCAAACACUUUCUCCUGUCUUUUCUCUUGAUCCCAAACAGGAAAACUCAUAAAUCACCCUUUAACAAUGAGCUGAGUAUACAUUAGCUAUUUGUUACUUUUUCUUUAAGAUAAAAGUUAUUUAAGUCCUGUCACUGAAAAUGGAAGGAGCAGGUGCUCCUUGUGUAAAUCUCUCUUGAGAUCAUAUACAGAGCACUUCACACACACACACAAACACAUACACACACACAGAGUCUACUUUUAAACAUUCUUUUACUCAUAAAUAGGAUGGCUGAAAGAAAGGAGAAAGUUAAUUCUAGAUUCCAAUUAAUUUCACCGCUGAAAUAGGAAAGAAAAUUAUGUUUGCUUUCUUAAAGUAAAUGGAAGUUAGACUAUCAAAGAUUAGUAAAGAUUGCUUAUAAUAGCUCAGCCACAUACCAGGGAGAUCAGCUCGGUGC